GGGGUUAAAGUGUUUUCACUCACAAUUCAUAAUAUGCAAUAUCAACUCAUAAGUUUGAAUAGUUUCUCCUUUCAUAUCAACUACACACAACACACACUUUUUAAGGUCUUUCGGGUUGUAAUGGGGCUUGGGUUAUGGUGUGGUAAAUACAAACAAAAGGGGAAACAAGUGGUUUUGGGUUCAGAGCCAAUGUCAUUAUUCUUUUCACUGUGUUUUUUCAUUUUACUUCUUUUCAAUUACUCA
RNAcentral lists this long non-coding RNA (243 nucleotides) under Lathyrus oleraceus (garden pea). RNAcentral describes it as "Pisum sativum (pea) long non-coding RNA (PSAT_LNC027897)". Lineage: Eukaryota; Viridiplantae; Streptophyta; Magnoliopsida; Fabales; Fabaceae. The record is from RNAcentral.